This is a long non-coding RNA of Ahaetulla prasina, 2812 nucleotides long. RefSeq lists it as uncharacterized. Lineage: Eukaryota; Metazoa; Chordata; Lepidosauria; Squamata; Colubridae. The record is from RefSeq and is a predicted model, not a curated record. The transcript is spliced from 4 exons.
CUAACUCUGGGAUUUAAGAAUAAGGAAAAGGAAGAAGACACAGCAUAUCCACUCUGCAAUACAGAUUUCAAUCAAGCCUCUGAAGCCACAGAAAAUGGAUGAAUACACAAUAAUUAAGUGGACAACUUUAAGAACGCCUGCCUCCCACUGUCUGUGCAGCAGCUGUUAUGAUUAAGCAGCAUUGGCUUCCGACUCCUUUUGGUGCAGUAGAAUAAGCUAUCCUAUUGCUUCCUUGCUGUGCUGCCCCAAGAGGUUGUACAUCAUCUGCCUGACACAGAAGCAUUCCAGGAUUGUUAGCAUAAUGCUGGGACCUAUCGCAAGAGGUUGAUAUCCAGGUGACUUACCAGAUUCGGAAACUGGGAACAACCCAAGUCAACAGCCAUUUUUAACUCUCCUUUUAAAAGCUGGUUUAUCUCCUUUCUGGCUAUGGGAAGCAGCUCAUCUCAUCUAAUCUAUGCAAUGGAAAUGCAUAGGAGAGGAGGUUCCAUACAUACCCCAUGUGUGGAAAGAAAAACCAGCUUUCCUGCUGAUAGGCACAACUAAGUGUUAUAGCAACAGACCUGGAAAAUGCCCAAAGAAGCCUGAAUGGGCACUCCAUAACAAUAGAUAUAUGGUUAGCCCCACAAUGAUUAUCUUUUAAUGCAGUAGACUUCAAUAGGAACCUAGAAGGAGAAACUUCCACUUUGGGAAUUGUUGGCCAUAAAACUAGAUGGAAAUGGACUUGGGUAGCCUUCAUCAACCAGGAUGCCUGCUUUUUUUUUCCUCGUGCCUUUCGUGUAGACCACUGCAGAUGGUGAUAAGACCAAUCGGCGUUUCAACUACAAGCGCACCAUCACUGCCCUGCCAUGUAUUGUAUUCCACCUCCAGUGAAUACAGUCAACUUAUCUAUGCAGUGGACUGGGCAUAGCACUUGUGAGGUUUGGAUAAUGGGGAUAAAUGUAAUCCUUAUUUACAUUUACAUUUUUUUCUGAAAGAGUUUCCCGCUCCAUAGAACAGAGGGACUAGACAUAGAACAUGUUAAACAUGACAUAGAACAUGUUAAACUAAAUAGUCGAUGUUACACCACGAUCACCUAUUGAGUUAGAAGGAUACACAACCAAUGGAGUGCAUCCCUUUGUUGAGAGUUCCUCAAUAUAUCACGACCCUGUCUUGCUUGAUGCAUCUUAUUGCUCACUCACAAGAAUGAUUCAUGAAGAUGUAAAUGUCUGGAUGUUUACUCUUUUUUUUCCUGAUAUGGGUGACACUUAUUAUGUGUAUCGCAAGUCUCCCCACAUCACAAGCAAUUGGGUUGAUUUUUAAAGUCUGCUCUGAUUCAAGGCAGACAAACUCUGAAGGAUAGUUCAUCUUAGAUGUGUGGGCCUGCAGUUUAUAAAGUGUUACUUCAUACCUGGUAUGGUGUGUGUACUCUGGGGACUUUUAUUUCCAGGAGUACGGGUAUAUGCAUAUACAUAUGCAUAUUCUCAGCUUUUAGGAUGACAUCCCAACUUCCAUUAUUGCAUUAAGGGAAAUACCUCUUCCAUUCUAGUAUUUGCCUAGUUUAGGGUUGGUAUUUGGUAUUUGCCUAGUUUAGGGUUGCUGAAUUAGCACUUGUCCUUCUCCAUAUUUCUGCAUCAUUUCAAAUCUAUCCCCAUGUUGUAGCCAGUGCCACUAGGAUUUAAUUGCAUUCAAUGCAUUAGGAUUUAAUGCACUAGGAUUUAAAUGCAUUCAAUUGCAUUAAAUGGAAAUACCCCUUCCAUUCUGUGUUGUGUUGGUAUUUGCCUAGUUUAGGGUUGCUGAAUUAGCACUUGUCCUUCUCCAUAUUUCUGCAUCAUUUCAAAUCUAUCCCCAUGUUAUAGCCAGUGCCACUAGAAGACUACAAACUGAAGUUUAGUUCCAUACCCCAUGUGUGGAAAGAAAACCCAGUUGGGCGGAUAGGCACAACUAAGUGUUAUAGGAACAGACCUGGAAAAUGUCCAAAGAAUGGGCACUCCAUACGAAUAGAUAUAUGGUUAGCCCCACAAUGAUUAUCUUUUAAUCCAGUAAACUUCAAUGGGAACCUAUAUGGAGAAACUUCCACUUUGGGAAUAGUUGGCCAUAACACUGAAAACUAUAUGGAAAUGGACUUGGGUAGCCUUCAUCAACCACAACGCCUACUUUUUUUUUCUCAUGCCUUUCUUGUGGAUCACCACGGAUGCUGAAAAGACCGAUCAGCAUUUUAACUACAUGUUUACCAUCACUGCACUGCCAUAUAUGUAUUCAACCUCCAGUGAAUACUUGCAGAAAACUGAGGGUGAAUUGCAUGGCCAGAAAAAUGGCUGUGGGUGCCACUUCUGGAACACAUGCCAUAGCUUCGCAUCGCGGACCUAUUGAGUUAGAAGGAUACACAUCCUAUGGAGUGCCUCCCUUUUUUGCGAGUUCCUUAAUAUUUAACGACCCUGCCUUUCUUCAUGUAUCUUAUUGCUCACUCACUGGAAUGACUCAUGAAGAUGUAAAUGUCUGGAUGUUUACUCUUUUUUUCUUGAUAUGGGUAACACUUACUGUCUGUACUGCAAGUCUCCCCAGAUCACAAGCAAUUGGGUUGAUUUUUAAAGUCUGCUACGCUGCAAGGCAGACAAACUCUGAAGGAUAGUUCAUCUUAGAUGUGUGGGCCUGCUGUUUAUAAAGUGUUACUUCAUACAUGGUAUGGUAUCUGUACUCUCGAGUUUUUCCCCUUGUAUUUUCAUUGAUGUGUUAACUGUAAGAGGGACUGAAAGUCGAUGAUCUGGGUUCCGACUUUGAAUAAGAGAAAUUCUUUUUAGCCAGGAUAUUCUAAAUAAAUCAUAAUUAAAUGAUG